CUAAUAACCAAAAUUAGCGAGACUAAGCGUGAGCGCAAAAUUUGGCGUCUAAAAAGAAUGAAAAAAAUAUAUAUAAAUGGUGACUUAUUUAAAAACAUUGAUAUGUCACUCAAAAUCCCUAAGCCUAGACCUAACUUCAUCCCUCAAGAACUCGACUAAGUGGGAGACUACCUAGAGAAAUUGAAGUCUGGCCAGAGAGAAUCAACGGUGGUCCUCCGUAGAUCAAUAGUUAGUGUGUGGAUGUGAGAGAGCAAAAGAGAAUAUCCCAAAAUCUUUUGGUUGACGCAUAUAUUUAUAUAUGUUACCCCCUUUCUAAAUUUUGAAGAAAACUAAGAAAUGUGGCCUAUUAUUCUUGAUCUUUCUCGAUCUGAUUCUUGUUUUGGGUAUAGAGGAUAAAUUUUCUUUCUAGGUGAGCUAACUAGGGUUCAUUUUUUUGGGGUUCUCAAGAAAUGGGUUUGCUCACUGUCUGGAAUGUAAAUAGGGUUUCUUGAAACGAGUAUUUAUCUGUUUUCUGAAGCUAAAUUGAACAUAAAUUCUGGUUCAAGUUUGAAUUUGAUGAGAUGGGUUUGAAGAAGGGCUUUUUGCAGUGAAGGGUGACCCAGGAUAAGCAGAGCAUAUAUCAAAGGUGAGAGCUUUUUUAGUUUCUUUGUUUUUUGUUUUGUGAGAUCUGUGAAGUUGUGCAUCAUGAAUUUCCAAUUAUCCGCUGUAUAAUGCUAAGUUCUUUCUUUCUUUGUUCUUUUUACUACUUUAUAAGUUUUGGAGAAUUUGAUAUGGUCAACAACAUUUAAUUUUUUGUUAUCUUUUUAAAAAAAGCUUCUACGUUUUCCAUGAUUGGUCCAGCAGAAAAAUAAGUACUUUACCCAAUUAAUUCUUGAAAUCCUUGGAAAUUAUCCCAUGAUUUAAUAGAAUUCACAUAGUAGUAACAGUGGUUCCUCUAUAAAUGAUUCCAUGUGGUUUUAAUAUUAUGACCUUAAUCAAUAAGAUGGCUUUAGGGUAAGAACUUUAAUGUCUUGCUGGUAUUGAAUUGUACGAACUACCUUAUCUACAACCUAAAGUUGUUAAAGAGGAGACAAUUUCAUUUAUUUAUUUAGGUCUACAAUAGGUUGUGCACCGUUGUGAUGGAAAUCAAUUACUCGGGGAUGAUUUUAAGACUUCUUAUGCAAAUUGUUUAUUCCGGUUUAAACAUAGUUGAUCAAUUGGAUAAGACUUAUGCAAUACUGGUUGGGCUGCAUUUCAAACUAUUGUGAGCAAAGUAAGGCUUGUGAAGCAUGGCAGGCUUCGGAAUUAGGGAGGUUGUCGUGUAAAGUUUUCAACCAACAGUUUAUUUUAGUUCUUUGAGUUUUUGGGUUGUUCAUCUAGAAUCUUCAGUUUGCUCGCAGAUUUUUGUGAUCAUGUUAUAUGCACUUUCCUUCUUUUUUUUUUCUUUCUGGUUUUGGAGUUUAUUUUAUACUUAGUGACAAUAACUGGCCGGAAAAUAAUUCUGGUUGCCUUUGGUUUUUCCGACCGUUGAAUUUCCUCUGUUUCUCUACAUCAUGUGUUUUAUUACCUCUUGUUCUUUGCUAAUGUUUUGUAGUGUACUAUCUCAUACUUAUGCCUUUUUAUUUGAGUUGUAUUUCAAUUCAAAAGCAAAGGUGAUUCCAGGUAAAGGAACAUUGUUCAGCUUUAACAAAGGAAGAUUGUCGACUCCAAUCUGGUUCUUCUAUUGCUUAUGAUAAGUUAUUUGAUAGGUACCUCUAGAACUUCAACGAUACACGUAGCUAUGAGCUUACUUUGUGAUCAAACUGGAGAAGAAUGGAUUGUUCCUUCCUUUACUGUAUUUCAGGUUGAUAGUUUCUUGUGCACUUCCCCAUGUUGAUAACUUGGAGACAUGAAGACUGUUUGACUGUAAUUAGGUCAGGAUGGAGGCUUCAGUUUACAAGUGAAGAUGCAAUUCUGAAGAUUUAGAACAAGUUGACAAACUAGUUAUCCAUUAUAGUUUUGCUAAGACUGUUAGACAAAACAUUUAAUGUAUUUACUAGGAUUGUUAGCCUUUGUGGGCUAAUGAGUUGUGUAAAUAGUAUCGUGACAUUUAUAUUUUACAAACAAUGAUACUACAGAGAUGUUAAUUUGUAUUUUCAUUUAAUACUACUGACAACUUCUUUUAUAUA
Molecule: long non-coding RNA, 2147 nt
Organism: Lycium ferocissimum
Lineage: Eukaryota; Viridiplantae; Streptophyta; Magnoliopsida; Solanales; Solanaceae
Exons: 4
Source: RefSeq, a predicted model, not a curated record